Molecule: ribosomal RNA, 228 nt
Filed under: uncultured bacterium
Lineage: Bacteria
Description: partial 16S ribosomal RNA
Rfam family: Bacterial small subunit ribosomal RNA
Source: RNAcentral
UAACGCGUAGGUAACCUACCUGGUAGCGGGGGAUAACUAUUGGAAACGAUAGCUAAUACCGCAUAAAAUUGAUUAUUGCAUGAUAGUCAAUUAAAAGGUGCAAUUGCAUCACUACCAGAUGGACCUGCGUUGUAUUAGCUAGUUGGUGGGGUAAAGGCUCACCAAGGCAACGAUACAUAGCCGACCUGAGAGGGUGAUCGGCCACACUGGGACUGAGACACGGCCCAG